CGAAACCUGGCGGCGUGCCUAAUACAUGCAAGUCGAGCGGACCAAGGGAGCUUGCUCCUAGAGGUUAGCGGCGAACGGGUGAGUAACACGUGGGCAACCUGCCUGUAAGACUGGGAUAACAUCGAGAAAUCGGUGCUAAUACCGGAUAAUAAAAAGAACUGCAUGGUUCUUUUUUGAAAGAUGGUUUCGGCUAUCACUUACAGAUGGGCCCGCGGCGCAUUAGCUAGUUGGUGAGGUAACGGCUCACCAAGGCGACGAUGCGUAGCCGACCUGAGAGGGUGAUCGGCCACACUGGGACUGAGACACGGCCCAGACUCCUACGGGAGGCAGCAGUAGGGAAUCUUCCGCAAUGGACGAAAGUCUGACGGAGCAACGCCGCGUGAGUGAUGAAGGUUUUCGGAUCGUAAAACUCGGUUGUUAGGGAAGAACAAGUGCCGUUCGAAAGGGCGGCACCUUGACGGUACCUAACGAGAAAGCCACGGCUAACUACGUGCCAGCAGCCGCGGUAAUACGUAGGUGGCAAGCGUUGUCCGGAAUUAUUGGGCGUAAAGCGCGCGCAGGCGGUCUCUUAAGUCUGAUGUGAAAGCCCCCGGCUCAACCGGGGAGGGUCAUUGGAAACUGGGAGACUUGAGUACAGAAGAGGAGAGUGGAAUUCCACGUGUAGCGGUGAAAUGCGUAGAGAUGUGGAGGAACACCCAGUGGCGAAGGCGACUCUCUGGUCUGUAACUGACGCUGAGGCGCGAAAGCGUGGGGAGCAAACAGGAUUAGAUUACCCUGGUAGUCCACCGCCCGUAAACGAUGAGUGCUAGGUGUUAGGGGUUUCGAUGCCCUUAGUGCCGAAGUUAACACAUUAAGCACUCCGCCUGGGGAGUACGACCGCAAGGUUGAAACUCAAAGGAAUUGACGGGGGCCCGCACAAGCAGUGGAGCAUGUGGUUUAAUUCGAAGCAACGCGAAGAACCUUACCAGGUCUUGACAUCCUUUGACCACCCUAGAGAUAGGGCUUUCCCCUUCGGGGGACAAAGUGACAGGUGGUGCAUGGUUGUCGUCAGCUCGUGUCGUGAGAUGUUGGGUUAAGUCCCGCAACGAGCGCAACCCUUGACCUUAGUUGCCAGCAUUCAGUUGGGCACUCUAAGGUGACUGCCGGUGACAAACCGGAGGAAGGUGGGGAUGACGUCAAAUCAUCAUGCCCCUUAUGACCUGGGCUAC
This 1208-nucleotide ribosomal RNA is filed under the name uncultured Bacillus sp. RNAcentral describes it as "bacterial SSU rRNA". It matches the Rfam family "Bacterial small subunit ribosomal RNA", at positions 30 to 1217 of the family's 1533-position model. Lineage: Bacteria; Bacillati; Bacillota; Bacilli; Caryophanales; Bacillaceae. The record is from RNAcentral.